GUGGGGAAUUUUGCGCAAUGGGCGAAAGCCUGACGCAGCGACGCCGCGUGGAGGAUGAAGGUCUUCGGAUUGUAAACUCCUUUUGUAGGGGAAGAUAAUGACGGUACCCUAUGAAUAAGCCACGGCUAACUCUGUGCCAGCAGCCGCGGUAAGACAGAGGUGGCAAGCGUUGUUCGGAAUUACUGGGCUUAAAGGGCGCGUAGGUGGUGGCAUAAGUCCGGGGUGGAAGGCUAAGGCUUAACCUUAGAAUUGCCCUGGAAACUGUAUCACUUGAGUCAGCGAGGGGAUGGCGGAAUUCCUGGUGUAGCGGUGAAAUGCGUAGAUAUCAGGAGGAAGGCCGGUGGCGAAGGCGGCCAUCUGGCGCUGAACUGACACUGAGGCGCGAAAGCGUGGGGAGCAAACAGGAUUAGAUACCCGAGUAGUCC
RNAcentral lists this ribosomal RNA (425 nucleotides) under uncultured bacterium. RNAcentral describes it as "bacterial SSU rRNA". It matches the Rfam family "Bacterial small subunit ribosomal RNA", at positions 354 to 796 of the family's 1533-position model. The record is from RNAcentral.